Molecule: ribosomal RNA, 490 nt
Filed under: uncultured bacterium
Lineage: Bacteria
Description: partial 16S ribosomal RNA
Rfam family: Bacterial small subunit ribosomal RNA
Source: RNAcentral
AUUGAACGCUGGCGGCAGGCCUAACACAUGCAAGUCGAACGGUAACAGGAAGCAGCUUGCUGCUUUGCUGACGAGUGGCGGACGGGUGAGUAAUGUCUGGGAAACUGCUUGAUGGAGGGGGAUAACUACUGGAAACGGUAGCUAAUACCGCAUAACGUCGCAAGACCAAAGAGGGGGACCUUCGGGCCUCUUGCCAUCGGAUGUGCCCAGAUGGGAUUAGCUAGUAGGUGGGGUAACGGCUCACCUAGGCGACGAUCCCUAGCUGGUCUGAGAGGAUGACCAGCCACACUGGAACUGAGACACGGUCCAGACUCCUACGGGAGGCAGCAGUGGGGAAUAUUGCACAAUGGGCGCAAGCCUGAUGCAGCCAUGCCGCGUGUAUGAAGAAGGCCUUCGGGUUGUAAAGUACUUUCAGCGGGGAGGAAGGGAGUAAAGUUAAUACCUUUGCUCAUUGACGUUACCCGCAGAAGAAGCACCGGCUAACUCCGUG